AGGCGCCGGGCAUUUCGGGCGCCUCUUCGUAGAUAGGCAAUCCGUCCGGGCUCAUGAUGCGCAAUGCGCCCCAGGCCCUGAUCAGCCGU
RNAcentral lists this small RNA (89 nucleotides) under Sinorhizobium meliloti 2011. RNAcentral describes it as "putative ncRNA". Lineage: Bacteria; Pseudomonadati; Pseudomonadota; Alphaproteobacteria; Hyphomicrobiales; Rhizobiaceae. The record is from RNAcentral.